CCUAGGAUUCCAUCCUAGGCUAUGGUUAUUCGUCCCUUCGGGACG
Molecule: small RNA, 45 nt
Filed under: Soonwooa buanensis
Lineage: Bacteria; Pseudomonadati; Bacteroidota; Flavobacteriia; Flavobacteriales; Weeksellaceae
Description: Acido-Lenti-1 RNA
Rfam family: Acido-Lenti-1 RNA
Source: Rfam by way of RNAcentral